CGAGAAUCUUCGGCAAUGGGCGAAAGCCUGACCGAGCGACGCCGCGUGCGGGAUGAAGGCCCUCGGGUUGUAAACCGCUGUCAGUGGGGAGGAAGGCUCUGUGAAGAGCAGGGUUUGACCUAUCCGCAGAGGAAGUCCGGGCUAAGUUCGUGCCAGCAGCCGCGGUAACACGAACCGGACAAACGUUAUUCGGAAUCACUGGGCUUAAAGGGUGCGUAGGCGGCCUGACAAGUUGGGUGUGAAAUCCCUCGGCUCAACCGAGGAAUUGCGCUCAAAACUGAUGGGCUCGAGGGAGUUAGAGGUAAGCGGAACUUAGGGUGGAGCGGUGAAAUGCGUUGAUAUCCUAAGGAACACCAGUGGCGAAAGCGGCUUACUGGAGCUCUUCUGACGCUGAGGCACGAAAGCUAGGGGAGCGAACGG
Molecule: ribosomal RNA, 420 nt
Filed under: uncultured bacterium
Lineage: Bacteria
Description: bacterial SSU rRNA
Rfam family: Bacterial small subunit ribosomal RNA
Source: RNAcentral